GUAAAUAUAUGGAAUAACUAAAAUAAAUGUUCUGGUAAAAAAUAAAGUUUGUGGCAUCCAUGUUCUCAACCAAUAUUAAAACGUGUGAGGGAUAAAUAAAAGUUUGUCUGGAUGGACACAUAUAUCCACUGUACACGUUAUUCAAUGUUUCUGACGUGCCAGGCUCUGAGUGAGUUGUGAGUCCCAGGGGUGCGGCAUGAGUUGUUUAAGCUGGGUGCUUAAACUUAAGUGACGUAUUCAUGUGCAUAUGUAUUAUGUAUACAAAUUGCUUUUAUAAGGAGCAACUCCAGUGGGGCUUACUCAAAGUAAUCGUAUUUCAUAUAAAACUAUAUAGAGGGUUGGAAAAAAGUCUGGAACAAAAGCUGAGCCAGAGAAAGGUUUUCUGAACUAUCAGUUGGAAAAGCAGAAGAAUGAAAAAUAUAGAAGUAAAUGGGGAUAAAAAUUAAAGAAAAGGGAAGAAGAAAAAAGGAAAAGAUCUUAUACCCAAUGGGAACUCAACAGGUAUAGGGUUAAUUAACAUGUUGUUAAAUCAGAGGGAAAGCUGACAAGAAAGAGAGCCCCCUCACAAUUUAGGUGGAGUCAAUGGUCAAAAUGACAUUCCUCAACUCAUAGAACUCCUCUUUCUCCCUCUGUGCACAAAUCUUUAAUAGUAUUUUGAACCAAGACCCAAAUAUUUAGCAUUUUCUGGAUCUCCUAUCCACAGCCCAUACCUGAUUCUGGAAUACCAGAGACAAGGAUAUAAUACAUUUCCAUCGCUUUAAGCCCCAAUUUCCCUUAACUCCCAUUUGCCUCACUCCGAUGGUAACCAUCAUUCUGACCAUGGAUUAACUUUGCCUGUUCUGAAUUUCACAUAAAUGGAAUCAUAAACUUUGUACUAUACUGUACCUAUUUUUUUCCCUCUCUCAACAUCAUGUUUUUGAGGUUCAUCCAUAUAGGAGCAGUGCUCAUGCCCUAUCUUUUGACAAACUGCUGCUAGCCUCCUUGCCAUAGGGUAGGAUGCUAAUAGCUACUCCCUUCUCUAGAAAAUUGCAUUUGGCUGAUAGUAUCUGACAUUUGGGACAACCCAAAAUCAAUGUUCAACCGAUGUAGGGUACAAAAAGACAGCCUUCUUGCCUCAAGUUGGGGAUAACUCUAUAGUGUGAUCCCCCAUCAAUUAGGUCAAGCCCAGACUUUAUUCUUGCUCAGUUUUUUCUCUCUUACUAUUUUGCUUCUCUCACUCCCUUACUGUUUUGUGUUUUGUUUUGUUUUGUUUUUGAAAAAAGCACUCUCUCAGAAAAUCACAUACAACUGAAUCUGUCUUAUGUUCUAUUUCUAAGGUUGAGUCAGAAAAUUGGUAGUGGGAAUUUCCUAGGAAGCUGACUCUAUGGGAUUCUAAAUUGGAUUAUCCACCAGUCAGCUGGUAAUGGUCCCACAUCACUAGUGAUAGCUGUAAGAUUAAUAAUCUCUGACAUGCUGUAGGAAUAUGAUUGUUCACUUUUACCUGGGGUGAGUGGGACAGGGCACAUGUCAGAAGGGAUGUGCUGGCUUAUACAGUAUCUCUGGCAUUUGACAGGUAUGGGA
Molecule: long non-coding RNA, 1560 nt
Organism: Equus caballus (horse)
Lineage: Eukaryota; Metazoa; Chordata; Mammalia; Perissodactyla; Equidae
Source: Ensembl